This 109-nucleotide ribosomal RNA is filed under the name Castor canadensis (American beaver). The record is from RNAcentral. Lineage: Eukaryota; Metazoa; Chordata; Mammalia; Rodentia; Castoridae.
GUCUACAGCCAUACCACCCUAAAAGUGCCCAAUCUCAUCUGGUCUCAGAAAUUAAGCAGGGUUGGGCCUAGUUAGUACUUGGAUGGGAGACAGAUCUUCAGAAGAGACU